GGAUCAUGGAAAUCUUCUAUUCAAAGUGGUUUUCCUCCUGGUGCAUCUGGGAUUUAUAAGGACUUGAGCCGUUCCUGAGCAUCAUAAGAUGAAGCAACUGUAGCAUACUUCCUUUUGCUUAUGAUUCUAUGGUGUGAUUAGAAGAGUAGAAGAAGGCGAUGGCACCCCACUCCAGUACCCUUGCCUGGAAAAUCCCAUGGCGGAGGAGCCUGGUGGGCUGCAGUCCAUGGGGUCGCCAAGAGUCGGACACGACUGAGCGACUUGACUUUCACUUUUCCCUUUCAUGCAUUGGAGAAGGCAAUGGCAACCCACUCCAGUGUUCUUGCCUGGAGAAUCCCAGGGACGUGGCAGCCUGGUGGGCUGCCGUCUAUGGGGUCACACAGAGUCGGACACGACUGAAGCGACUCAGCAGCAGCAGCAGCAGCAGCAGCAGCAGAAUAGAAUUCUUUGAAAGAGAACAAGGCAGCAAGUCUAACCGCAUUGGGAGAGCUCAUAAAGCAGCAGUGUAUUAUGUCAUGGAUUCCGCAGAGCUUCUGCAGCCUUCUCUCCCAACAAAAGUGGUUGGAGCAGCUCUGAGGUCCUCCGUAGCUGUUUUUCAAAGAUUCUCCUGUGUGUCAAAGAAGGGCAGCACUUACAAUGGAAGGAUACAGAGCUGGGACCCAGGCAUCCAGAGGUUGAAAGAAAGGUAGGUUUGAGGGUUGAGUUACAGCCCCAGUAAACGGAUUACCCCAAUGGAAUCAUAAUGGAAAUCAGGUGCUCCGCACUUCUGAGUGGCCUGUACAAGGAAAUCUUGCUUCUCUCCUUUCUCUCAGGUGGAGUGAGACCUCCCAGCGUGACCAGAUAGCCAGAACUGGUCAGUUCAGAGCAUUUGAGACCCCUGCCUCAGGAUGGGCACCUCCUAACCCAGGUCUGUGCUGUGAAACAUACUCCCGGGCCUGCAGCUGGGCCAUGGGGAGAGAAAGUUGUCCUUUGGGAAUACUAAGAUGGUAUUGUAUGUAUCCGGGGCUACCAGAGGCUAUUUUGCCACCUCACUGGGGACAGCCUGUCUGAAAAAGAAUCCAGUAGAAUGAAAAGCAUGUAAGAGGUUAGGGAUGCUGGAUCACAUUCUAUCACAUCAUCUGGUCUUGGAUCUAGUUAGUUCUUUCUCUUUCUUUAAACAUUUAUUUAUUUACUUAUUUAUUUUAGCUGCACUAGGUCUUAGUUGUAGCAUGCACGAUUUUUAGUUGCAGCAUGAAACUCUUAGUUGCAUUGUGUGGGAUAUAAUUCCUUGACCAGGGAUUCAACCAGAGCCGCCUGCAUUGGGAACAUAGAGUCUCAGCCACUGGACCACCAGGGAAAUCCCUGGAUCCAACUAGUUCUAAAGGCAGUUUUACUCAUGGACUUCUUGGUUCUCUGAGCUCAUAAAUUUUUGCAAUUUGAUCUGGGUUUAUGUCACUUACAGCUAAAGGACUCCUAAUCAAAUACUAACUAAAGGAAGACCAAAGACUGGUAGGCAAACAGUCUGUCAAAGCAGAAUGAAACAAAAAGGUCUAGGUGACCAGUGGCU
RNAcentral lists this long non-coding RNA (1546 nucleotides) under Capra hircus (goat). Its description in RNAcentral is "lncRNA (ENSCHIG00000001426.1)". Lineage: Eukaryota; Metazoa; Chordata; Mammalia; Artiodactyla; Bovidae. The record is from RNAcentral.